RNAcentral lists this unclassified non-coding RNA (250 nucleotides) under plant metagenome. RNAcentral describes it as "partial contains small subunit ribosomal RNA, internal transcribed spacer 1, and 5.8S ribosomal RNA". The record is from RNAcentral.
GUAGGUGAACCUGCGGAAGGAUCAUUAAACGUAUCCACGUAUAACCCAAUGCGAACUGUUUUCUUCUAAACAGGCUUGCGAAUGGUGCGCGCUUGAGAUCAGCGUGAGUGCACAGGUGAGCCUUCGGGCUCAGAGCUCUGCUGGUCGAUGCGCACGUAUUGCAGGUUUUCAAAUUUCCAAUCCUGUGAUGUUUAACAAUUCUUUACUCUUUUGUAAAUGCUAGUUGAACAAUCGUGCAAACCAAUGGUUG